UAGAAUAUAGUGUAAGUUUGGUAGCACGAAGAUCUUUGAAUUCUUAAGAUUAGGU
RNAcentral lists this transfer RNA (55 nucleotides) under Canis lupus (wolf). Its description in RNAcentral is "partial tRNA-Gln". Lineage: Eukaryota; Metazoa; Chordata; Mammalia; Carnivora; Canidae. The record is from RNAcentral. RNAcentral also lists the same sequence under 1 other name.